CCUCUGAUUCCAUUUGUGACCAGAAUCGUGGAAAGUUGUUCAUGAACUGAGGUACCACUGUAUGUUUUAAAUUCACCAGAGUAAAACCCACACCACCCAAGGCUCCAGAAAACAAAGGAGAGAGACAACAAACCUCACACACGUGCGAACCAGUGGACGGUCUCAGGUUUCUUUUCAGAAAAGAAAACACCAACCAUCCUGCUGAGUCAGAUAAAUAAAUUGUUUUAUUCCCCCUAAAUCCAAGGGAAAAUCAGCCUGUUCCUGGAAAUAAGGUUCCUCCUUGUGUGACUCGUACAGCGAGUUUUGCUACUGUCUCGCUUGCCAUUGACCCACUUUUGAGCUGCUCACCCCAAGUUAACAUGACCUCUUUUGGCUGCUUCUUAUUUUUCUUGGGAUCCUCUUUGGUGGCUCAAAAAUUGUCUCAAAGAGAUAAUAGUAAGUGAUUGCUUACACAGAGCCUUAAAUCUAACCACAUCCUUUUCCUGUCACCAACAGUUAUCUACGGACCUGGCAGCCUACAUGAAAUUGCCCAGAACAUUGUCAUCCUCCAGAAUCAAGUAGAUUCCCUGGCAGCAGUAGCCCUAUAGUAAAUACCACAGGGGACUAGGCCUCCCAGCUGCUGAAAAAGGGAGAUUAUGUUUGUCUCUAGAAGAAGAAUGUUCUGUGUCAGUCAGUCUAGAACGUCGUUAAACUACAGAUGGUGGUCUGAGCCAAUGAUUAAAACCCACCUCCAUAUCUCGUCAAGAACUCCAAACCCACAACUCAUCAAGAACUCCUUGCAGGAGGUGUUUGGCUGUCUGAGUCCCUAGAUCAGGCAGGACUAGAGUUCCAUGGUCACUGCAUAGGUAGGGCUGGUGCCCCUAUAGAGUAGGAAACAGCGAUGGGAAAAUGGAUGUUCCACUCUUAGCACCCCUGAAAGAUUUUCAGGUACCAGGUCUCUUGGAGUAAUCAUAGAGAUAGCAUUGUUGGGGCUAUGGGGCCACCAUAACUCUACUCGCUUGAACCUGGGCAAAACCCCAGGACCAACCUCCUGACCUUUGUCCUAAGACCUACUAUCCAGAGGCAGAGAUAAGAAAGACAGAGACCCCCUAGACCUGGCUUAGAAGAUUCUGACAUCCCAAACCAAGGUGCAUUGUGCCAGUUUCUCCGGUAUGACUUACAAUAACCCUUUUUUCAUGUGGAGCUAAUUAAUGGGCUGCCUGUCAUACAUCCAGUUGUAACAGUGAAUUAUGGAAAAGGACUUGCCCAGUAGACUGCUGACAUCACUCAGCACCCUGUCAAGCAUGUUGUAGGUCAUGCUCUGAAAGAUCCAGAGGGAGGCGCCCUAGACCCAGUGCAAACUUUUAAGUUCUUAAAUCCAACAUGUUCAGCACUCGGGCCAUGUUCCUUUCUGCUGGUGUGAACCCCCACUCUGUACAUACCUUUGCACAAAUAAACUGCUUUUCCUAGAAAAAAGAAAAGCUGAGUGUGGUGGUGCAUGCCCCUAAUCCCAACACUUGGGAGGCCGAGGCAGGAAGAUUGACACAAGUUUGAGGCCACUCUAGGGUACAUAGUGAGUUUACGGCCAACCUGAAAUACAUAGUGAGAACCCUGUCUGGAAAGACAAAAAAAAAAGCAAAAUAAAAAUAAAGAAGAAAUAGGGGUUGAGGGUAAAGCUCAGUGGUAGAGCAUUUGUCUAGCAUCUGGGAGAUCCUGGGUUCAAUUCCCAGCACCACAAAAAAGAAAGAGCCCUUUAAUCAACAAUUUAACCUCUCACUUUCAACUUUUUUUUUUUUUUUUGGUACUUGGAAUUGAACUCAGGACCCUGUGCUUGCCAGGCAGGCACUGUGCUGCUGAGCUAUCUCCCCACCCCUAACCUCUCACUUUAAAAUGCUG
Molecule: long non-coding RNA, 1875 nt
Filed under: Chinchilla lanigera (long-tailed chinchilla)
Lineage: Eukaryota; Metazoa; Chordata; Mammalia; Rodentia; Chinchillidae
Description: lncRNA (ENSCLAG00000024166.1)
Source: RNAcentral